This is a long non-coding RNA of Humulus lupulus (European hop), 3322 nucleotides long. RefSeq lists it as uncharacterized. Lineage: Eukaryota; Viridiplantae; Streptophyta; Magnoliopsida; Rosales; Cannabaceae. The record is from RefSeq and is a predicted model, not a curated record. The transcript is spliced from 3 exons.
UGGAAAAUGUAGGAAAAGAAGAAGAUACAGAUCUGGGAAAGAGGGAAUCGAAUAUGAAGAGGAUAAGGGGGAAAAUAGAGGGAAUGGUAUCUUGGAGGAGGGAGGAGAUCUGGGAUUUAAGCUUGGAUAUACAAAGAAGGGCGAUAGCAAAUGUGAGAAGGGGAGAAGGAAAAUCAUGAUAAAAAAUAAAGCCAGAAAUAAAGGUAAGACUCACCAAGAUGAGGAUGUGAAGAGCAAUACAAUUGCAAAUGAAGGAAGUGGGCAUGAGGCUCAGCAAGAAGGUAACAAUGGAGACAACCUAGGUUUGGAGGUUUCUAUGCUUAUGGAUUCCUCAUCCCCAAUUUCGAACACUAGAUCGGUGGACCUUGCGGGACAAGGUUGUCGGGCCCAAUGAGUCUAUUGUGUUGGGACGUCCAAGGAGUGGGGAACCUUGGCACGUUCAAUGCUAUUCUUUCCCAUGUGAAACAAUUUCAACCUGAGAUUGUUUUCAUAAGUGAAAGUAAAUUAUCUAGGAAGUAAGCAGAGGAUCUAAUGAUAAAGCUGAUUUUUUUUGAAGUUUUGGCCGGUUGACAGGAAUGGCCCUAGUGGUGGUCUCCUUUUAAUGUGGAAUGAUACGGUCAACAUAGAUAAUUGCAAGGGGCAUAUCGCGACUAAUGUUUCUGGUAAUGGUUUCUUGCCUUGGGUCUUUACUGGCUUCUAUGGUAACCCAAUCCAGGCUUUAAGGAAUCAAUCUUGGGACCUCCUCAGGAGAUUGCACCGACUUAGGCAGGGAGCUUGGCUAGUUUGUGGUGACUUUAAUGAAAUUACUAGCAAUUCAGAGAAGAUUGGUGGAAGGGAGCGACAACCCAGAAUGCUAAAUAGUUUCAGAAAUGCUAUCGUUGACUGCAAUCUUAUUGACUUUCGGGAUGUUCAGAAUGAAAUGAAUUGGUGCAACAAUCACAGAGGGAGUGGUGUUAUGGAGCGACUGGACAUAGCACUUUGUAGCUCCGAGUGGUUUGACCACUUUCCUAUGGCCACGGUGAAUGUCCUUGAUUUGUGGGAAUCGAACCAUAGGGCCUUGGUGGUCAAAUGGUCUAUCAAAUAUUCAUAAAAGAAAUGUGGCAAGAAGAAGCGAAACUCGUGGUUCUAUUUUGAAGAAGCACGGUGAGAAGAAGCGAAUUGCAAGGCCAUUAUUGUAGAUUGUUGGAUGAAUUAUCAUGGAAAUGGGACUAUUAUUGACUUUAAACAGAAGAUGUCGAGAUGUGGUAAUCGCUUAGUUGGCUAGAAUAAUAAAAGGAAGAAAGAGAUGAGCAAAGAGAUGAAGGAGGUGAAGAAAAAGCUGAAAGAGCUCUCUACCACAAACGAUCCUAAAGUUUGGCCAGAGAAAAUAAACAUGGAGAUGAAGUUGAGUUGUUUGGUGGAAAAAAAGGAGACUUAUUGGCGUAAAAAAAGCAGAGCCCUAUGGCUCAAAUGGGGUGACAAAAAUACUAAAUAUUUCCAUCACAAGGCUUCGACAAGAAGGAAGAAGAACGAGAUUUCGGGCCUAAAUGAUUACUCCAAACGAUGGCAAGAUGAGGAGGAAAUUGUGUUGAAUAUUAUCUGUAAGUAUUUUAAUACUUUUUUUCCUCCUCAAAUCCAAACAUGUCUAUCAUUAAUGAGGUGACCCAGUGUGUGGGAAGGAAAAUUGAUGAUAAUGUUAAUAUGAUAUUGUUGCAAAAAAAAUAAAUAGUAUGCUUGCAAGAGGCACAACUCAAACUACAAAUCGAACUAGUAGUAAAGAAGUCCAAAGACUGAUAUCGUCCCACUGGGAUUAAAAUCAAUUAAAUAAAUUAAAAAUACUAAAUCCUAACUUUAUCUAAGUAAUCAAUUUCAAAAGAUAAUAAUAACUUAAAAUAAAAUAUAAAUUUUAAAGAACGAAUAAUUAAAUAGAAAUAAACUCAAGAUAAGAACGAUUGUUAAUGUUUAAACUUCACUCUUUAAAAAAUUAUAAUCCUAAUUAUUAAUGUGUUUAAUUCGAUCCAAUAUUUUCAAGAACCUAGAGCAUUGUUUUAUCUCUAUACCCUUUCUCAAGUGCCACAUAAAGAAUGUGUAAGUGACAACUAGCCUAUAUCUUUAUACGAUUAAUUAUCCUUACAUUCAUUAAGUUCCACCCUAGAAAUAAUUCUAAAUAUUCCACCUCUCAAUUUCACAAUCUAGAACUAUUUUUCCUACCUAGAUCCAUGCUUAUCUCUUGAUCUCACACAAUCUAAGUUGUUCUCCAUGCCGUCGUCGGAUUUUAAAUGUUCCUCUCUUGAGUAAUAAUUCUCACAAUCUAAAUAUAGCCAUUAUAAUAAUAUACUGCAAAAACAAUAUAAAAAUCACAAUUAUAGCAACAAUGAUUUAAAGUAGAACAUAAGAACAAUAUUGGACUAAAUUAAACUUUGCAUUAAAUCAUAGAAAUAAAAUCAUAUCAAGAGAUCUGUCUACACCCUAAUAAACAAGAAAACUAGCCACACAUAAUGUGGUUUAUAAUCUCGAACAUAUUGUAAUUAUCUGGAAAUAUCAAAGAAAUAAAGAAAAACUAAAGAACUUCGUUGAUAUGACUUAAAGUAGAACACAAGAACGAUAUUGGACUAAAUUAAACUUUGCAUUAAAUCAUAGAAAUAAAAUCAUAUUAAGAGAUUCGUCUACACCCUAAAAAACAAGAAAACUAACCACACAUAAUGUGGUUUAUAAUCUCAAACAUAUUGUAAUUAUCCAAAAAAAUCAAAGAAAUAAAGAAAAACUAAACAACUUCGUUGAUAUGGCUUUGGUUCACUCCUUAGAUCUUCCACAAUGAGUCUCUCCCUCCAAAUAUGUUUCUCUUCCUUUUUAUAUGUGUUUUGGUCGUAACCUAGCCUCUAGAAACGUCCUUGGGCGACUUCCCCACGACUUGGAAUAAACAAAUGUGUGAAAAAACACGUUUUUCAAAUUUUAUGGCACAACAGGCGACGCAUCGCUGGACAACAGGCGACGCAUUGCCUGGGAUUUUUCCCAGGUGACCGCUAAGGGAUCAAAUGAUUGAUCGUUCUCAAAGGUCAUUUUUAACUUAUUUCACGCUCGAACCAGAGGUAAAGGGAAAGAAAAGCUCACCCAACCUUGAGUGGAGAGCUUAGGUGGUGAUGUGUACAUAUGCAGCAGCUUGACCAUCAUGGGCAAGGUGUUUCUCAGAGGAACAAGGGGUUAACCCUAUUUUUGCCGCUUAGGUCGGCAGGUUGUAACUUUUACAUUGUAAUGACCAUUUUGGAUUGUAAAUAACUUUGUAAAUAUUUUUAUGGUUCCAAGUACUGUUUUAUCUUUUAAAUAAAAUAUAUCCAUUCAUUUU